Molecule: ribosomal RNA, 40 nt
Filed under: Begonia aptera
Lineage: Eukaryota; Viridiplantae; Streptophyta; Magnoliopsida; Cucurbitales; Begoniaceae
Also listed under: 1 other name
Description: partial 18S ribosomal RNA
Source: RNAcentral
AACAAGGUUUCCGUAGGUGAACCUGCGAAAGGUUUGUUGU